Molecule: long non-coding RNA, 210 nt
Filed under: Elaeis guineensis (African oil palm)
Lineage: Eukaryota; Viridiplantae; Streptophyta; Magnoliopsida; Arecales; Arecaceae
Description: long non-coding RNA (EGUI_LNC017316)
Source: RNAcentral
GAAUCUAAGGGAUAUAACUUCUACCAUGCUAAACAACAAGAGUUGUUCGGUAUUUCUUUUAGAAAAAGAGUAUGUUGGUGAAGGUACUGAUGCCUUUAAUAUAGAACUUAUGAAGUUCGACAGAUAGAAGAAUCGAAAUAAUCUGGUGAACCAGUAGAACCAAAUUUGAUUAGAUCAAACUUGGAAUCCAUUGUAGAGGCACCAUGAAGG